CCCUUAGAGUUUGAUCCUGGCUCAGAUUGAACGCUGGCGGCAUGCCUUACACAUGCAAGUCGAGCGGCAGCGCGGGGGCAACCCUGGCGGCGAGCGGCGAACGGGUGAGUAAUACAUCGGAACGUGUCCAGUAGUGGGGGAUAACCAGUCGAAAGAUUGGCUAAUACCGCAUACGAUCUACGGAUGAAAGCGGGGGACCGCAAGGCCUCGCGCUAUUGGAGCGGCCGAUGUCGGAUUAGCUUGUUGGCGGGGUAAAAGCCCACCAAGGCGACGAUCCGUAGCUGGUCUGAGAGGACGACCAGCCACACUGGAACUGAGACACGGUCCAGACUCCUACGGGAGGCAGCAGUUGGGAAUCUUGCACAAUGGGCGAAAGCCUGAUGCAGCGACGCCGCGUGGAGGACGAAGUCUUUCGGGAUGUAAACUCCUUUUGCCAGGAACGAUAAUGACGGUACCUGGUGAAUAAGCCCCGGCUAACUACGUGCCAGCAGCCGCGGUAAGACGUAGGGGGCGAGCGUUGUCCGGAUUUACUGGGCGUAAAGAGCGCGUAGGCGGCCUAUUAAGUCAGGUGUGAAAUCUCCAGGGCUCAACCCGGAAACUGCACUUGAUACUGGUAGGCUGGAGUGUCGGAGAGGUGAUUGGAAUUCCUGGUGUAGCGGUGACAUGCAUUGAUAUCAGGAGGAACACCCAUGGCGAAGGCAGAUCACUGGCCGACAACUGACGCUGAGGCGCGAAAGCGUGGGUAGCAAACAGAAUUAGAUACUCUGGUAGUCCACGCCCUAAACGAUGGAUACUAGACGUCAGGGGUAUCGACCCCCCUGGUGUCGCAGCUAACGCAUUAAGUAUCCCGCCUGGGGACUACGGCCGCAAGGUUGAAACUCAAAUGAAUUGACGGGACCCCGCACAAGCGGUGGAGCAUGUGGAUUAAUUCGAUACUAACCGAAGAACCUUACCCAGUCUUGACAUCGAUGGAAAGGCGCAGAAAUGUGCCCCUCUUCCCACAAGGAAGACCUGAAGACAGAUGUUGCAUGGCUGUCGUCAGCUCGUGCCGUGAGGUGUUUGGUUAAGUCCAGCAACGAGCGCAACCCUCAUUUUGUGUUACCAGCGAGUAAUGUCGGGGACUCACAAGAAACUGCCCGUGUAAGCGAGAGGAAGGUGAGGAUGACGUCAAGUCAGCAUGGCUCUUACGACUGGGGCUUCACACAUGCUACAAUGGGCGCAACAAAGGGCAGCAAUACCGCGAGGUGGAGCGAAUCCCAAAAAUACGCCCCCAGUUCAGAUUGCAGUCUGCAACUCGACUGCAUGAAGGCGGAAUCGCUAGUAACCGCAGGUCAGCUAUACUGCGGUGAAUACGUUCCCGGGGUUUGUACACACUGCCCGUCAAGUCACCUGAAUUGUCUGCACCCGAAGUCCGUGGCCUAACCGCAAGGAAGGAGCGGCCGAAGGUGUGGGGGGUAAGGGGGACUAAGUCGUAACAAGGUAACCAAGGG
Molecule: ribosomal RNA, 1490 nt
Filed under: uncultured bacterium
Lineage: Bacteria
Description: bacterial SSU rRNA
Rfam family: Bacterial small subunit ribosomal RNA
Source: RNAcentral